CGGAAAGGUUACAAUGGUUAUGUUUCUACUUAUUAGAGCUAUCUGAGCCCGUGCUUUAUAAUGUAGAUGAUUAUGAGUUGUGAUACUCUUCAAAGAUAAGCUUCACUUCGUUUGAAAUAUUCUUUGCGUCACUUCAAUAUUGCUUUAUCGGAUUUAAAUAAUUGAAACUUCCUGAAAUUAAAUAGACACCUUG
Molecule: long non-coding RNA, 193 nt
Organism: Diorhabda sublineata
Lineage: Eukaryota; Metazoa; Arthropoda; Insecta; Coleoptera; Chrysomelidae
Exons: 3
Source: RefSeq, a predicted model, not a curated record